UGAUGGAGUUAUCAGUUUUCAUGGUGAUCUCAGUAAUACUUAUUGUAGAUCUGAGCGAUGGAGUUUCUGUUACUCAGCGGGAGCAUUCGCUCACAGAUACGGAGGGAGAAGAUGUCACUUUAAACUGCACCUACACCGGUGAUGCAUAUUACUUGUUCUGGUACCGUCAGCACCCAGGCAGAGAGCCCGAGUUCGCAGCCCGGAGGCAUAAGAGCGGUGGUUCUGAACUUAAGGCGGAUUUUGCUCAGAAACGAUUUUCUGACACAGUCCAGCAAUUAGAGAAGUUGUACCGAUUGACAAUCUCGGAGAUUCUGCUGUCUGACACUGCUGUGUAUUACUGUGCAGUGAGCUUCACAGUGAUGGGAACGAGCGGAAGCCUCAUACAAUAUCUGCUGCAGGUUUCUGGGCCACAGCUGCUGCCUGUGAGGGCUGUUUACAGCAGGUUCUCACACGCUGUUACUUCAUUAGAUUCCUGGACUGUUAAACUUGUAUCAUAA
This is a non-coding RNA of Rhincodon typus (whale shark), 497 nucleotides long. Lineage: Eukaryota; Metazoa; Chordata; Chondrichthyes; Orectolobiformes; Rhincodontidae. The record is from the annotation of a RefSeq genome assembly.